RNAcentral lists this ribosomal RNA (482 nucleotides) under uncultured bacterium. RNAcentral's name for it is "partial 16S ribosomal RNA". It matches the Rfam family "Bacterial small subunit ribosomal RNA", at positions 28 to 507 of the family's 1533-position model. The record is from RNAcentral.
GACGAACGCUGGCGGCGUGCCUAACACAUGCAAGUCGAACGGAACUGUUUUGACAGAUUUCUUCGGAAUGAAUUUGAUUUAGUUUAGUGGCGGACGGGUGAGUAACGCGUGAGUAACCUGCCUUCAAGAGGGGAAUAACAUUCUGAAAAGAAUGCUAAUACCGCAUGACAUAUCGGAACCACAUGGUUUUGAUAUCAAAGAUUUUAUCGCUUGAAGAUGGACUCGCGUCCGAUUAGUUAGUUGGUGAGGUAACGGCUCACCAAGACCGCGAUCGGUAGCCGGGCUGAGAGGUUGAACGGCCACAUUGGGACUGAGACACGGCACAGACUCCUACGGGAGGCAGCAGUGGGGGAUAUUGCGCAAUGGGGGCAACCCUGACGCAGCAACGCCGCGUGAAGGAUGAAGGUUUUCGGAUUGUAAACUUCUUUUAUUAAGGACGAAAAAUGACGGUACUUAAUGAAUAAGCUCCGGCUAACUACGUG